Molecule: ribosomal RNA, 255 nt
Filed under: Klebsiella pneumoniae
Lineage: Bacteria; Pseudomonadati; Pseudomonadota; Gammaproteobacteria; Enterobacterales; Enterobacteriaceae
Description: partial 23S ribosomal RNA
Rfam family: Bacterial large subunit ribosomal RNA
Source: RNAcentral
UAAGCAUGUAGGCUGGUUGUCCAGGCAAAUCCGGAUAAUCAAGGCUGAGGUGUGAUGACGAGGCACUACGGUGCUGAAGUAACAAAUGCCCUGCUUCCAGGAAAAGCCUCUAAGCAUCAGGUAACAUCAAAUCGUACCCCAAACCGACACAGGUGGUCAGGUAGAGAAUACCAAGGCGCUUGAGAGAACUCGGGUGAAGGAACUAGGCAAAAUGGUGCCGUAACUUCGGGAGAAGGCACGCUGGUGUGUAGGUGA